RNAcentral lists this transfer RNA (77 nucleotides) under Bacillus subtilis subsp. subtilis str. BSP1. RNAcentral describes it as "tRNA-Asn". Lineage: Bacteria; Bacillati; Bacillota; Bacilli; Caryophanales; Bacillaceae. The record is from RNAcentral.
GAGCUUGCAAAAGAAAUCGCAGAUAUAGUUGGAGUUCAAUUAGGGAAAUGUUCUGUCACAAGAUUUAGUGACGGGGA